CAGUAGCCGCGGUAAUACGAAGGGUGCAAGCGUUACUCGGAAUUACUGGGCGUAAAGCGUGCGUAGGUGGUGGUUUAAGUCUGCUGUGAAAGCCCUGGGCUCAACCUGGGAAUUGCAGUGGAUACUGGAUCACUAGAGUGUGGUAGAGGGAUGCGGAAUUUCUGGUGUAGCAGUGAAAUGCGUAGAGAUCAGAAGGAACAUCCGUGGCGAAGGCGGCAUCCUGGGCCAACACUGACACUGAGGCACGAAAGCGUGGGGAGUAAACAGGAUUAGAUACCCCAGUAGUCCCUGUCUCUUAUAC
RNAcentral lists this ribosomal RNA (301 nucleotides) under uncultured bacterium. RNAcentral's name for it is "partial 16S ribosomal RNA". It matches the Rfam family "Bacterial small subunit ribosomal RNA", at positions 509 to 807 of the family's 1533-position model. The record is from RNAcentral.